This 265-nucleotide ribosomal RNA is filed under the name uncultured bacterium. Its description in RNAcentral is "partial 16S ribosomal RNA". It matches the Rfam family "Bacterial small subunit ribosomal RNA", at positions 28 to 293 of the family's 1533-position model. The record is from RNAcentral.
GACGAACGCUGGCGGCGUGCUUAACACAUGCAAGUCGAGCGGUAAGGCCCUUUCGGGGGUACACGAGCGGCGAACGGGUGAGUAACACGUGGGCGACCUACCCUCAGCUUCGGGAUAAGCCUGGGAAACUGGGUCUAAUACCGGAUAUGACCUUCCCUCGCAUGGGGGUUGGUGGAAAGUUUUUUCGGUCGUGGGGAGUGGCCCGCGGCCUAUCAGCUUGUUGGUGGGGUGAUGGCCUACCAAGGCGACGACGGGUAGCCGGCCU